Molecule: ribosomal RNA, 457 nt
Filed under: uncultured Sphingobacteriales bacterium
Lineage: Bacteria; Pseudomonadati; Bacteroidota; Sphingobacteriia; Sphingobacteriales
Description: bacterial SSU rRNA
Rfam family: Bacterial small subunit ribosomal RNA
Source: RNAcentral
GCACAAGCGGUGGAGCAUGUGGUUUAAUUCGAUGAUACGCGAGGAACCUUACCUGGGCUCAAAUGUAUGUUGACGUAUUCUGAAAGGGAUACUUCUUCGGACAAUAUACAAGGUGCUGCAUGGUUGUCGUCAGCUCGUGCCGUGAGGUGUCGGGUUAAGUCCCAUAACGAGCGCAACCCCUAUCAUUAGUUGCCAUCAGGUCAAGCUGGGGACUCUAAUGAAACUGCCUACGCAAGUAGUGAGGAAGGUGGGGAUGACGUCAAAUCAGCACGGCCCUUACGUCCAGGGCUACACACGUGCUACAAUGGCCGGUACAAAGGGCAGCUACCUGGUGACAGGAUGCUAAUCUCAAAAGCCGGUCUCAGUUCGGAUCGGAGUCUGCAACCCGACUCCGUGAGGUCGGAAUCGCUAGUAACCGCAGAUCAGCUACGUUGCGGUGAAUACGUUCCCGGGCCUU